Molecule: small RNA, 302 nt
Filed under: Phascolarctos cinereus (koala)
Lineage: Eukaryota; Metazoa; Chordata; Mammalia; Diprotodontia; Phascolarctidae
Description: Metazoan signal recognition particle RNA (ENSPCIG00000009567.2)
Source: RNAcentral
ACAGGACAUGGUAAUGCAUGUUUUGUAGUUCCUGCCACUAGGGAUGCUGAGGCUGGUUGGUGGAUCUCUUGAGCUUAGGAGUUCUGAGCUGCAGUGAGCUAAGCAGAUUAGGUACAUGCACUAAGUCUGACUCUAAUAUAGUGAGCCCCUGGGCGCAGAGGGACACCAGGUUGCCUAAGAAAGAGUAAGGGUCAACUGUCCCAGGUCAGAAAUAGAGCCAGUCAAAGUUCUGGAGCCAAUCAAUAAACCUUGGCAUAGUGAUUGCAUUUACAGGCUGAGUUCUGUAGGGAGACUCAGUUUUU